RNAcentral lists this ribosomal RNA (549 nucleotides) under uncultured bacterium. Its description in RNAcentral is "bacterial SSU rRNA". It matches the Rfam family "Bacterial small subunit ribosomal RNA", at positions 355 to 896 of the family's 1533-position model. The record is from RNAcentral.
UGGGGAAUAUUGGACAAUGGGCGAAAGCCUGAUCCAGCCAUGCCGCGUGUGUGAAGAAGGCCUUAUGGUUGUAAAGCACUUUAAGUGGGGAGGAAAAGCUUAUGGAUAACACCCAUAGGUUCUGACGUUACCCACAGAAUAAGCACCGGCUAACUCUGUGCCAGCAGCCGCGGUAAUACAGAGGGUGCAAGCGUUAAUCGGAAUUACUGGGCGUAAAGCGAGCGUAGGUGGUUUAUUAAGUCAGAUGUGAAAUCCCUGGGCUUAACCUAGGAACUGCAUCUGAUACUGAUAAACUAGAGUAGGUGAGAGGAAAGUAGAAUUCCAGGUGUAGCGGUGAAAUGCGUAGAGAUCUGGAGGAAUACCGAUGGCGAAGGCAGCUUUCUGGCAUCAUACUGACACUGAGGUUCGAAAGCGUGGGUAGCAAACAGGAUUAGAUACCCUGGUAGUCCACGCCGUAAACGAUGUCUACCAGUCGUUGGGUCUUUUAAAGGCUUAGUGACGCAGUUAACGCGAUAAGUAGACCGCUUGGGGAGUACGGCCGCAAGGUUA